This 904-nucleotide ribosomal RNA is filed under the name Dujonia boleticola. RNAcentral describes it as "LSU rRNA". It matches the Rfam family "Eukaryotic large subunit ribosomal RNA", at positions 37 to 963 of the family's 3401-position model. Lineage: Eukaryota; Fungi; Ascomycota; Pichiomycetes; Serinales; Debaryomycetaceae. The record is from RNAcentral.
AGCAUAUCAAUAAGCGGAGGAAAAGAAACCAACAGGGAUUGCCUUAGUAACGGCGAGUGAAGCGGCAAAAGCUCAAAUUUGAAAUCUAGCACUUUCAGUGUUCGAGUUGUAAUUUGAAGAAGGUAACUUUCGAGUUGGCUCUUGUCUAUGUUCCUUGGAACAGGACGUCACAGAGGGUGAGAAUCCCGUGCGAUGAGAUGCCCAAUUCUUAGUAAAGUGCUUUCGAAGAGUCGAGUUGUUUGGGAAUGCAGCUCUAAGUGGGUGGUAAAUUCCAUCUAAAGCUAAAUAUUGGCGAGAGACCGAUAGCGAACAAGUACAGUGAUGGAAAGAUGAAAAGAACUUUGAAAAGAGAGUGAAAAAGUACGUGAAAUUGUUGAAAGGGAAGGGCUUGAGAUCAGACUUGGUAUUUUGUGUGCCUUUCCUUUUUGGUUGGGUUUCUGCAGCUUACUGGGCCAGCAUCGGUUUGGGUGGUAGGAUAAUGACAUUGGAAUGUAGCUUCGCUUCGGUGAAGUGUUAUAGACUUUGUUGAUACUAUCUAUCUAGACCGAGGACUGCGUCUUUGACUAGGAUGCUGGCGUAAUGAUCUUAAGCCGCCCGUCUUGAAACACGGACCAAGGAGUCUAACGUCUAUGCGAGUGUUUGGGUGUAAAACCCGUACGCGUAAUGAAAGUGAACGUAGAUGAGAGCCUUCGGGUGCAUCAUCGACCGAUCCUGAUGUCUUCGGAUGGAUUUGAGUAAGAGCAUAGCUGUUGGGACCCGAAAGAUGGUGAACUAUGCCUGAAUAGGGUGAAGCCAGAGGAAACUCUGGUGGAGGCUCGUAGCGGUUCUGACGUGCAAAUCGAUCGUCGAAUUUGGGUAUAGGGGCGAAAGACUAAUCGAACCAUCUAGUAGCUGGUUCCUGCGA